Molecule: signal recognition particle RNA, 265 nt
Filed under: Oryzias latipes (Japanese medaka)
Lineage: Eukaryota; Metazoa; Chordata; Actinopteri; Beloniformes; Adrianichthyidae
Description: Metazoan signal recognition particle RNA (ENSORLG00020007566.1)
Rfam family: Metazoan signal recognition particle RNA
About the family: The signal recognition particle (SRP) is a universally conserved ribonucleoprotein.
Source: RNAcentral
GCUUUUACAAAGAAAACCGGGUAGUUUUUUAGGCUGAGGCUGGAGGAUGGUUGGAGCUCAGGAGCUCUGAGCUGCAGUGGAUUUGGUUUGGUAUCGAUAUGGUCUUCCUGGGGGAGCCUGGGACAACCAGGUCGUCUAAGGAGGGGUGAAUCGGCCUAGGUCAGAAACGGAGCAGGUCAAAGCCCGCGUGCCGCUCAAUAGUGGGAUCGCACCUGGGAGUAGACGCUGAAGCACAGCCUGAGUUACUCAUCCAGACCCAGUGUUU